ACUUGCUGUGGACUAGAACUGCAAUCAGUAGAGGUAUAGAAACUGUCAGUUGCUGGAGGAGGAUCCAUUUGGAAUAAGGCAGAAUGAUCUUUUCCUUCAGUGGAGUCUCUGUGGGGGACAGAAACUAUGAGAAGUUUUCUCACCAUCACCCUCCAAUUGUGUAGGAAGGAACUUUCAGAAAUGGAGCAAAUAUCAGACCCAAGUUUAACC
Molecule: long non-coding RNA, 210 nt
Filed under: Macaca mulatta (Rhesus monkey)
Lineage: Eukaryota; Metazoa; Chordata; Mammalia; Primates; Cercopithecidae
Description: lncRNA (ENSMMUG00000055512.1)
Source: RNAcentral